This 328-nucleotide ribosomal RNA is filed under the name Potamonautes oderhi. Its description in RNAcentral is "partial 12S ribosomal RNA". The record is from RNAcentral. Lineage: Eukaryota; Metazoa; Arthropoda; Malacostraca; Decapoda; Potamonautidae.
AUUUUCUUUAAAUUUAAAGAAUUUGGCGGUAGUUUAGUCUGGUCAGAGGAACCUGCUUUUUUAUCGACAUACCACGUAAAAUCUUACUUAUUUUUGUUUUUAGUUUGUAUACCAUCAUUAUUAGAUGAUUUUUAAAAAAUUAAAUUAUUGAAGAUAAUUAUAUUAAUAAAAUUAGAUCAAGGUGCAGCUUAUAAAUAAGUUAAAGUGGGUUACAAUAAGACUUAUUUAAACGGAAUAAGAUAAGUAUUUUCUUAGGAAGGUGGAUUUGAUUGUAAUAUAAAUUUAAUAAAUUUAGGAGAUAAAAGCUCUAAAGUGCGUACACAUCGCC